UACGGAGGAUGCGAGCGUUAUCCGGAUUUAUUGGGUUUAAAGGGUGCGUAGGCGGGUUAUCAAGUCAGCGGUAAAAUCGUGGAGCUCAACUCCAUCCAGCCGUUGAAACUGAUGAUCUUGAGUGUGUUUGAGGUAGGCGGAAUGCGUGGUGUAGCGGUGAAAUGCAUAGAUAUCACGCAGAACUCCGAUUGCGAAGGCAGCAUACCGGCGCCCAACUGGCGCUGAAGCACGAAAGCGUGGGUAUCGAACAGG
RNAcentral lists this ribosomal RNA (252 nucleotides) under uncultured Bacteroidales bacterium. RNAcentral describes it as "partial 16S ribosomal RNA". It matches the Rfam family "Bacterial small subunit ribosomal RNA", at positions 524 to 776 of the family's 1533-position model. Lineage: Bacteria; Pseudomonadati; Bacteroidota; Bacteroidia; Bacteroidales. The record is from RNAcentral.